UCAGACUAAAAGCCUAUCUCAAAUUUCAAUAGAAAGAAAAUUUCUGAAACUUUCUAGAGAGAAUACAAAAAGUUAUAUUUCAAAUUGGUAGAGAGAGGAACUUUAAGAGAGAGUGAAGGGAUGUGCAGCAAUUGUAGGUUUAUAUAUGUCAGGGUAUUUUAUCCAAAAUAUAGUUUUUUUUUUUUAUGAGUUGGCCCAAAACUAAAUAGUAAUGAGGUUAGUUUUGGUACUUACAAAGUAGUGGUAGAGCUACACUUAGAAAGUGUUAAAAGUACUGGGUACAGCAAUGCUUGACAGUGUGGUCCGGGGGAUACACCAUGAGGAUAGAGUGGAGGUAUAUUUGACUUAAACAGGUUUGAUGGACCCUCUUAGGUCUUCAUCACCAUUAGGCCCAUUGAUGAGAGCAGAUCGUGGUGUUAUGCUGGCAUUGAUUAUUCUAUACUUUUUAAUGAUCAAAGGGCCUCACAUUGUUUCCAAGGAUCUAGGCCACAUUUUGGGUUCCAUAAAAAAUAGUGUAAAAUGGUUUGAUAGGGCUGCAACCCUAUCAAAAUAUGUAGACCUCACCUCAUGA
This 571-nucleotide long non-coding RNA is filed under the name Amborella trichopoda. Its description in RNAcentral is "long non-coding RNA (ATRI_LNC001684)". The record is from RNAcentral. Lineage: Eukaryota; Viridiplantae; Streptophyta; Magnoliopsida; Amborellales; Amborellaceae.